UGGGGUGUAGCUCAGUGGUAGAGUACUUGCCUAGCAUGCAUGAGCCCUGGAUUAUAUCACCAGUACCCCCC
RNAcentral lists this transfer RNA (71 nucleotides) under Heterocephalus glaber (naked mole-rat). It matches the Rfam family "tRNA". From Rfam's summary of the family: Transfer RNA (tRNA) molecules are approximately 80 nucleotides in length. Their secondary structure includes four short double-helical elements and three loops (D, anti-codon, and T loops). The record is from Rfam by way of RNAcentral. Lineage: Eukaryota; Metazoa; Chordata; Mammalia; Rodentia; Bathyergidae.